Molecule: long non-coding RNA, 1190 nt
Filed under: Struthio camelus australis
Lineage: Eukaryota; Metazoa; Chordata; Aves; Struthioniformes; Struthionidae
Description: lncRNA (ENSSCUG00000011470.1)
Source: RNAcentral
ACGUUUCUGUAAUUCUUCAGGUGAGAGCAAUCUGAAAAUAAAUGCUUUGGGAAUUAUGAAAUUCCCCCAAAAUUGGAAAUUUGAAAGCAAAAUCUGGGAGCACAGGCUCUUGACUCAGAAAUGGCUCUCCAAUUUUUUGCCUCUGUGUUCUCUGUCAGCUGCGCCAGACUGGUGGGGAAUGGCAGCCUGAGGUCAAAGUCUUGAGCUGGGGGUGGAUGCAUCACAAUAACAGAGUCACGGGGUGGAAGAUACAGCCAUGACCAUAAGCUUGACUUCCAGCUUUGUUUCUUUGGUCAGCGCCACUGUGUACAGCCCAUAGGGCCAUCUAGUGGGUCAGCGAGGCCCCGGGAUAAGCAGGUAGCAGAAACUGCCUGAGCACACUGAUUCCCGGGAAAAGGCACUGAGAUUUUAUUUCUUCCCCUGUGUUUCCUGUCAGAUCAUCCAGCAUAUUAUUCCUCACAUUCUUACAUUUCUCAUUCCUUUUCCCCUAGAUGGUUUCUGCUGAGAGCUGGAGGUGAAGUGGUGCAUGCCUGUCCUCUUUCCAUUUAUUGCUGAGGAAAGGUACAACGUGGUCAUUCAGGACUGGUAGUCGAAACGUGUUUCCAGAGCCUGCUUGCCUGUGGAAUACGAAAGUUGAGGACACGAAUAAAGUGAAUGCAUCAGUCAGGAAUCAAAGGUUUGAAAAGUCAUUCAGCCCCUCCAAAUUAGAACACAAACCAUCUGCACAACAGGACGGAGCUCUCCUUAAAGGCUGCAGGCCAGGAUCUGAUCUCAGGGACACCAGGAUCUCCUUUUGGCAGCUGGAUGAGAAGGGCAUGCCACCAUAAAGGAGGGAUCACUGAAACGAGGUUAAAGUUGUAUUCAAAAGCAACACCAGUGCUGUACGUUGCACGUAUCACCACUAUUGAGGGUCAAUACCUCUUCCCUGGAGUCACUGUCAGAGUUCUGUGAGUAAUAUCUGUGAUAACUGAAUCAGGCCCUGCAUAUAGAUUUAAAAGUGAUUAACCCCGCCCCCCCCAAUUAAAAUUCACUUAUAUCAGAAAGGAAUUAAACAGCUAUAAGGCUUGAGUAGUAUUACAAAUUGUAUUAAAUCAGAUGUUUUCUAGUAAGGAAAGGGUAGAUGAAAAGAAGGUGUCCCAGAAAGUGCUUUCUAGUGAGGCCGACUGAGUCAAAUUUGGAUUUUCUGCUCU